CCUACGGGAGGCAGCAGUGGGGAAUAUUGCGCAAUGGGCGAAAGCCUGACGCAGCGACGCCGCGUGAGGGAUGAAGGUCUUCGGAUCGUAAACCUCUGUCAGCAGGGCAGAACGGUCAAUGUGCUACUCAGCAGUGAAUUGACGGUACCGGCAAAGGAAGCACCGGCUAACCCCGGGCCAGCAGCCGUGGUAAUACGGAGGGUGCGAGCGGUAAUCGGUAUUACGGGGCGUAAAGCGCUCGUAGGCGGUAUGUCAAGCCAAGGGUGAAACCCCCACGAUCAACGUAGGAACAGCCUUUGAAACUGGCAAACUUGAGUGUGUGAGAGGAUAGUGGAAUUCCAGGUGUAGGAGUGAAAUCCGUAGAUAUCUGGAGGAACAUCAGUGGCGAAGGCGACUAUCUGGCACAUAACUGACGCUGAGGAGCGAAAGCGUGGGUAGCAAACAGGAUUAGAUACCCUAGUAGUC
Molecule: ribosomal RNA, 465 nt
Filed under: uncultured bacterium
Lineage: Bacteria
Description: partial 16S ribosomal RNA
Rfam family: Bacterial small subunit ribosomal RNA
Source: RNAcentral